UNCAAGGACCUCUACUGUUGUAAGACCUC
RNAcentral lists this non-coding RNA (29 nucleotides) under Rattus norvegicus (Norway rat). Lineage: Eukaryota; Metazoa; Chordata; Mammalia; Rodentia; Muridae. The record is from RNAcentral.